GCAGUAGGCUGUUUCAUCGCUUUAUUCGUAAAGAGGAAAGUCCGGGCAACAAAGAGUACCAAACUCUCGAAAGUAGAGAUGUUCGCGAGGGUAUAGUAACAGAGAAGAAAAUAACCGCUUUAAUUCGUUAAAGUAAGGGUGAGAAGGUGAGGUAAGAGCUCACCAGUUUCGGUAGCAAUAUCGAAUGCUGUCUGUCUUUUGGGUUGCAAGACCAUGUAUACCGGCAAUUAAGAGCUACUCGUUCAAUGUCGGGGGGUAGGUUGCGUAGAUAAAUGAUGAAAAAUACGAUUCGUCGUAACACAGGACCCGGCUUAUAGGCCUACUGCUUUU
This 330-nucleotide RNase P RNA is filed under the name Bacteroidales bacterium. RNAcentral's name for it is "RNase P RNA component class A". It matches the Rfam family "Bacterial RNase P class A". From Rfam's summary of the family: Ribonuclease P (RNase P) is a ubiquitous endoribonuclease, found in archaea, bacteria and eukarya as well as chloroplasts and mitochondria. Lineage: Bacteria; Pseudomonadati; Bacteroidota; Bacteroidia; Bacteroidales. The record is from RNAcentral.